Molecule: transfer RNA, 71 nt
Filed under: Nitrososphaerota archaeon
Lineage: Archaea; Thermoproteati; Nitrososphaerota
Description: tRNA-Gly
Rfam family: tRNA
About the family: Transfer RNA (tRNA) molecules are approximately 80 nucleotides in length. Their secondary structure includes four short double-helical elements and three loops (D, anti-codon, and T loops).
Source: RNAcentral
GCAGCGAUCCGUCAAUGGCAGGCCGCCAGCCUUCCAAGUUGGUAAUGCGGGUUCGACUCCCGCUCGCUGCA